CCGAUGCCCGCCGCGCCCCGCGCCCGUCCCGCCGCCCCCGCCCGCUCCUACGGGAGGCAGCAGUGAGGAAUAUUGGUCAAUGGGCUUACGCCUGAACCAGCCAAGUCGCGUGAGGGAAGACUGCCCUAUGGGUUGUAAACCUCUUUUGUCAGGGAGCAAUUGGCGCUACGUGUAGCGUUAUCGAGAGUACCUGAAGAAAAAGCAUCGGCUAACUCCGUGCCAGCAGCCGCGGUAAUACAAUCCAUAUGACUAG
This 253-nucleotide ribosomal RNA is filed under the name uncultured organism. RNAcentral's name for it is "partial 16S ribosomal RNA". It matches the Rfam family "Bacterial small subunit ribosomal RNA", at positions 319 to 536 of the family's 1533-position model. The record is from RNAcentral.